Molecule: ribosomal RNA, 439 nt
Filed under: uncultured Bacteroides sp.
Lineage: Bacteria; Pseudomonadati; Bacteroidota; Bacteroidia; Bacteroidales; Bacteroidaceae
Description: bacterial SSU rRNA
Rfam family: Bacterial small subunit ribosomal RNA
Source: RNAcentral
CCUACGGGAGGCAGCAGUGAGGAAUAUUGGUCAAUGGACGCGAGUCUGAACCAGCCAAGUAGCGUGAAGGAUGACUGCCCUAUGGGUUGUAAACUUCUUUUAUAUGGGAAUAAAGUUGUCCACGUGUGGAUUUUUGUAUGUACCAUAUGAAUAAGGAUCGGCUAACUCCGUGCCAGCAGCCGCGGUAAUACGGAGGAUCCGAGCGUUAUCCGGAUUUAUUGGGUUUAAAGGGAGCGUAGGCGGAUUGUUAAGUCAGUUGUGAAAGUUUGCGGCUCAACCGUAAAAUUGCAGUUGAUACUGGCAGUCUUGAGUGCAGUAGAGGUGGGCGGAAUUCGUGGUGUAGCGGUGAAAUGCUUAGAUAUCACGAAGAACUCCGAUUGCGAAGGCAGCUCACUGGAGUGUAACUGACGCUGAUGCUCGAAAGUGUGGGUAUCAAACA